GUAUGAGCUACGGCAGCACAUAUACUUAAAUUGGAUCAAUACAGAGUAGAUUAGCAUGGCCCCUGCAAAAGGAUGACACGCAAAUCCAUGAGGCACAGGUUC
Astyanax mexicanus (Mexican tetra) is the source of this 102-nucleotide small nuclear RNA. Lineage: Eukaryota; Metazoa; Chordata; Actinopteri; Characiformes; Acestrorhamphidae. The record is from Ensembl.